Molecule: ribosomal RNA, 253 nt
Filed under: uncultured bacterium
Lineage: Bacteria
Description: partial 16S ribosomal RNA
Rfam family: Bacterial small subunit ribosomal RNA
Source: RNAcentral
UACGUAGGGUGCGAGCGUUAAUCGGAAUUACUGGGCGUAAAGCGUGCGCAGGCGGUUUUGUAAGACAGGUGUGAAAUCCCCGGGCUUAACCUGGGCACUGCAUUUGUGACUGCAAGACCAGAGUGCGGCAGAGGGGGGUAGAAUUCCACGUGUAGCAGUGAAAUGCGUAGAUAUGUGGAGGAAGACCGAUGGCGAAGGCAGCACCCUGGGAUAACACUGACGCUCAUGUACGAAAGCGUGGGUAGCAAACAGG